This 442-nucleotide ribosomal RNA is filed under the name uncultured bacterium. RNAcentral's name for it is "bacterial SSU rRNA". It matches the Rfam family "Bacterial small subunit ribosomal RNA", at positions 29 to 523 of the family's 1533-position model. The record is from RNAcentral.
AACGAACGCUGGCGGCAGGCCUAACACAUGCAAGUCGAGCGGGGGAGCAAUCCCUAGCGGCGGACGGGUUAGUAACGCGUGGGAACAUACCCUUUGGUACGGAAUAGCCUCGGGAAACUGAGAGUAAUACCGUAUGUGCCCUUCGGGGGAAAGAUUUAUCGCCAAAGGAUUGGCCCGCGUUGGAUUAGGUAGUUGGUGGGGUAAUGGCCUACCAAGCCUACUAUCCAUAGCUGGUUUGAGAGGAUGAUCAGCAACACUGGGACUGAGACACGGCCCAGACUCCUACGGGAGGCAGCAGUGGGGAGUAUUGGACAAUGGGGGCAACCCUGAUCCAGCAAUGCCGCGUGGGUGAUGAAGGCCUCGGUUGUAAGCCUUCGGCGGGGACGAUGAUGACGGUACCCGCAGAAGAAGCCCGGCUAACUCGUGCCAGCAGCCGCGGUAA